RNAcentral lists this transfer RNA (85 nucleotides) under Shimia sp. Its description in RNAcentral is "tRNA-Leu". It matches the Rfam family "tRNA". From Rfam's summary of the family: Transfer RNA (tRNA) molecules are approximately 80 nucleotides in length. RNAcentral also lists the same sequence under 7 other names. Lineage: Bacteria; Pseudomonadati; Pseudomonadota; Alphaproteobacteria; Rhodobacterales; Roseobacteraceae. The record is from RNAcentral.
GCGCGCGUGGCGGAAUUGGUAGACGCGCCGGAUUUAGGAUCCGGUUCCCUCGGGAGUGAAGGUUCGACUCCUUUCGCGCGUACCA